This is a non-coding RNA of Paramuricea clavata, 1575 nucleotides long. The record is from the annotation of a GenBank genome assembly. NCBI's taxonomy places the organism in Eukaryota, Metazoa, Cnidaria, Anthozoa, Malacalcyonacea, Plexauridae.
AACCGUUCAGAUGGAUUUUAUAGUAUAUACAAAAUAUAAACAAAAAAUGUAAAUCACAUUACAGAAUAUAUUAAUACAAUUAUAAGAAAACACAACAGAAUAUAUGAAACAAGUACGGAAUAAGAUAUUAAUUAAAAGUACUGUCAAGGUGUGCUUUACACAGAUAGAUAUAAACAUAGGAAAAACUGUCAUUGAUUCCAAAGGGGUGGACGGUGGCAAGUUUGGAAAUGAGACGCAUUUCGUGUCUUUUGCGGCUAUCCUUGCUACCAGAAAUGGUACAGACAGAGUGCUCGAAUUUCCGACCAUAUCUGAAACACAGUGAUUACCACUGUAAUUGCCACUGUCAUUGAUAGUAGAAAUAAUUUUUGCAUAAUGGAAGUGUACUUUUCUUUGUUUUGCUUUACACGGAAGACAAAAAUAUUCUAGCACACAAAUUCGAGCAAAAACUACUUAAUGCAGUGCUAUUGUGGCUUUUAGUAAAACACAAAUAAUUAUUGAACAGUUAAAUGCAUACUUGGACCAAUGCAUAUAUUGUCGUAGUUGGUACUAUAGGCAUAAGUAUGCAUAUAUUUGCAAUACAGUAUACUGCAUGUAGUACCGAUUAUAUAGGGGUAUUGAUUGAUUGAUUGAAGCACUUAUUUAAUCACGAUUGAAAGAUACCAGCUAAAGCAGAUUGGAGCGUAUAAAAAGGUAAUCCAACUUGAACAAGUUCCCUGUUUUAGAUAUCGAAUUUAUCGAUAACAUUUAUACACAGCGAGAAAAUUCAGGCUUUUAGUUGUCCAAUGACACUUUUAUAACAUUAUAAGAGAAAAUGGCCAAAUACGAUUGGAAUAAUACACCGUCGGGAAUUUUGUGAAAAAUUAUUGAAAGUAAAUCUAAUUGGAUCUAAAUUUUGUGAAUUUUAAUUUAAUUUGAAAAACCAUAAAAUCUGUUUUCUUCUGUUUGAAGCCUAUUGGUUGGCAUGACGCAUUAGAUAUUAGUUCGUUUUCUUUUCUUCUGCACUGCUUUAAUAAUGCACAUAGGUCGAUUGAUUGUUUGAUUGCUGCGUAGCGAGCGAGCCUGAAGCGAGCGAGCGAAGAAGCAUUCUAAUUUGUGCUGAGAGGGGGGUUUGAAGUAAAUUUUAUUUUAGCGCAUUGCAUUGUUGUCGUGCGCGCAUACUAUGCGCUGAACACAAAAUAUAAGCGCCGUGCGACAUGUAAUAUUUGAGGCGCAUUUGAAGGAUAUCGUUUAUUGUUUUGCUUGCUACUGCUUGUAAAUUAUUUUGACUCGGAAACUCGACGUAAAGUUUAACAAAGUUUUUGGCCCUGUAAAGGCCAUAAUUUAGUGUAUAAAAUAACGUGACUGCACUUCGUACGUUGCCACUCAAUGGACUAUGACCACCAGGGCGAAGGGAGGGAGGGCGUGGAAACGGCAAUACAAGUCUUGGGACCAUCCGUGAUGCGGGAUUUGCGGGAGGUAAGACGUUCUAAUUGUAAACAAAUAUGGCGAAGCAUAUGACCCAUCAGAAGGAAGGCUUAAACCAUUGCUUUAUAAAAUAUUAUUUGUGUAAAAUUUAUAUGUUUUUGUUACUUGUAG